CGUAGGGAACCUGCCCAUGCGGCCCGGGACAACUUCCGGAAACGGAUGCUGAUACCGGAUAAGGAAAGCGAAGGCAUCUUUGCUUUGUUAAAGGAGCUGCAAGGCUCCGCGCAUGGAUGGACCUGCGGUGCAUUAGCUGGUUGGUGAGGUAAAGGCUCACCAAGGCGACGAUGCAUAGCCGGCCUGAGAGGGCGAACGGCCACACUGGGACUGAGACACGGCCCAGACUCCUACGGGAGGCAGCAG
This 246-nucleotide ribosomal RNA is filed under the name uncultured bacterium. Its description in RNAcentral is "partial 16S ribosomal RNA". It matches the Rfam family "Bacterial small subunit ribosomal RNA", at positions 116 to 354 of the family's 1533-position model. The record is from RNAcentral.